This 250-nucleotide long non-coding RNA is filed under the name Cyanistes caeruleus (blue tit). RNAcentral's name for it is "lncRNA (ENSCCEG00000021330.1)". Lineage: Eukaryota; Metazoa; Chordata; Aves; Passeriformes; Paridae. The record is from RNAcentral.
CUCCUAAACUCUUCCUACCCCUAAAUAAGAAACACCAGCCUAUGGUGGGAGGACACGUUUAAGGAUGGACAAGACUAAAGGCCAGCAAUAUUGAAGAGAAAAUAAUGGAGAGGGAAGGAGUGUACAUCUGCAAGAAAAGAGAAUCAGGGAUUGUUUUUUGGAUUAGAAAAUUCCAUUCUGCCCUUUCCUAGAAUGUCACAGAACUUCUACUGAUGCUUGGCAUGUUUUGGAUUUCUGGACUAUACCCGAG